ACUCCUACGGGAGGCAGCAGUGGGAAUCUUGGACAAUGGGGGCAACCCUGAUCCAGCCAUGCCGCGUGAGUGAUGAAGGCCUUAGGGUCGUAAAGCUCUUUCGCCUGUGAAGAUAAUGACGGUAGCAGGUAAGAACCGACCGUACAUCCGUGCCAGCAGCCGCGGUAAUACGGAGGGGGUUAGCGUUGUUCGGAAUUACUGGGCGUAAAGCGCACGUAGGCGGAUCGGAAAGUUGGGGGUGAAAUCCC
This 248-nucleotide ribosomal RNA is filed under the name uncultured bacterium. RNAcentral's name for it is "partial 16S ribosomal RNA". It matches the Rfam family "Bacterial small subunit ribosomal RNA", at positions 335 to 603 of the family's 1533-position model. The record is from RNAcentral.